Molecule: long non-coding RNA, 20946 nt
Filed under: Vitis vinifera (wine grape)
Lineage: Eukaryota; Viridiplantae; Streptophyta; Magnoliopsida; Vitales; Vitaceae
Description: long non-coding RNA (VVIN_LNC001202)
Source: RNAcentral
UUCACAGGAACCCAUGUCUGUCCCCAGGAUCAACUCUCGUCUGCUGCAUGAAUCUGAGAUGAUCGGGCUUGGGAAGCUGUUGGGUCCAGAGGACAUAGCCUAUGAUACCAACUCACACCUAAUCUACACAGGCUGUGCUGAUGGCUGGAUUAAGAAAGUCACCUUGAACGACUCGGCUGUCAACUCGGUCGUUCAUGACUGGGCCUUCACCGGUGGAAGACCUCUCGGCGUCGUUCUCGGUCGCGCCGGUGAGGUUCUCGUUGCCGACGCCGACAAGGUAGGAAAUUGGUUUUCUCUGUCACACUUUUCUUUUCCUCUAAGAUUCGAUCUUUUAGGAAUAAUAUUAAGUUAUAUCCCAAAUGGCAACCAGCGGUCGGAUCGCCCGCAUCCCAACCUGCCCGUUUACGUUUAAAAAAUUAAAUGGGCGCGGUAUGGGAAAUUCCCAUACCCUGGCCCGUUUAACUUUUUUUUUUUAAAUUACAUUAAAAUAAAUAUAUUUUAUAAAUAAUAAAAUUAUUAUAUUUUUUAUAACUUAUUUUAUUAAAUUUUUUUAUUAUUAUCUAUAUAUUAAAAAUAGUAAAAUAAAAUUUUAAAUUAAAUUAAUUUUAAAUUUUAAAUUAAAUUUAAUUUUAAAAUUAAUUUUAUAUAUAAUCGGGGCGUGGGUUUAAAAAAAAAUCUUAUACUCAUUCCAAACCCGUUUAUUAAACUUAAACCCCAUCCCAUUAGGGGCGGGGUGAGGCGGGUACCCGAAAAAAUCGAUCGCAUUGCCAUCCUUAUAUCCCACACGCAUCGGGUCAAAACUUUUCUUAAAAAAAAAAAAUUCUAUUUUUUUCUUCAUAAAAUCACUCAAUUAUUUAUUUCUUUCUUUUAUUAUUAUCAACUCCACUAAUGGAAAAUAAAAUAAAAAUAGAAAAUAAAUUAUUUUUUAUCAAAUUUAUUAUUGACGAGAACAAAAAUUAUCAUCAUCAUCUUCACAGACAUGUCUAUUUCACCAAGCCUCUCUCUGAGGCAGUGCCCAGAUCGUUACGCCUUUCGUGCGGGUCAGAACUUACCCAACAAGUAAUUUCGCUACCUUAGGACCGUUAUAGUUACGACCGCCGUUCAUCAGGGCUUUGGUCGCCGACUCCCUUGUCACUAGAUUAGCAACUUUCUUGACCUUUCGGCACUUUAGGUAGGCGACAGCACUCAUAUAUGGUCUUACGACUUUGUGGAGACCUAUGUUUUUUAUAAACAAUCGUCCGGGCUUAGUCACUGCGACCCCCUUUGAGAGAAGGCACCCCUUCUCCCAAAGUUACAAGGCUAUUUUGUCAAGUUCCUUAGAAAGAGUUAUCUCAUGCCCCUAGAUAUUCUCUACCUACCCACCUGAGUCGGUUUCGGGCAUAGGUACCUUUUUGUUGAAGAUUAUUCGAGCUUUUCUUGGGAGUAUGACAUGGGUUACUUCAGCACCUGGUACUCGAACAUUGACUCGAGGCAUUUUCCCUACCCCUUCUUACCCUUGAAAAAGAAGGGUUACCUUGUGUCCUUGAACCUAUAACCAUCUCUUGGCUAACCUAGCCUCCUCCGUCCCUCGAGACGGACAAGGGUAGGAGCAUUAAGAAAUUAACUUAAAAUUCAUAUAUUAAAAAAUAUUUUAGUACACGUCCCAUUUGAUGAUGCAAUCUCAACCUUACAAUAAAUGAUAUUUGCUUGAAAUUUAUUUUUAAAAUGAUCAUAUGUGGCAGGGUCUACUGGAGAUAAGUGAAGAUGGUGUGGUUAAACUGUUGACAAAUGAGGCUGAGGGCAUAAGAUUCAAACUAACGGACGCUGUGGAUGUAGCUGUUGAUGGUAUGAUUUAUUUUACAGAUGCUUCCUAUAAAUACAGUUUCAAAGAUUUCAUAUGGGACAUGUUGGAGCUUAGGCCCCAUGGUAGACUACUGAGCUUUGACCCAUCAACGCAAGAGACAAAAGUGCUGGUUCGUGAUCUCUACUUUGCCAAUGGUGUUGUCGUCUCACCUGAUCAGACGUUCCUGAUCUUUUGCGAAUCCUUCAUGUAUGUUUCUCACCCACGUGCUUAAAUUUCGAAAAAUAUCGUGACAUGGAAAUUCAUAAAAAUAAUGUUUGGCUCCCAAAAAGUAUAGGAAAGAAAAAAAAAAUGUUAAGAAAAUCCUAUAAAAUAUUCCAAAGAAAAUUAAAUAUAAUUAAAAUUAAUUAGAAUUUUAUGUAUUUUAAAAUUAUUUAAUCUUUAUAUUGAUGAGUUAAAAUAAAGAAAAUGAGUUUGAAGUCGCAAAUAAAAAUAAUUAAUCAUUUUUAAUUUUAUAUUUUAUUUUCUUUUACUUUUUCUCUCUAUUUUCUUUUAUUUGCAUUUUCCAUCAAAUUUUCCGAUAACCAAACAUAACUAGAUCCAUAAAGAAAAUAAUAAAAAUAUAAUUUAAGAAUUUGAAAACAUAUUUAAUAUAAAAUUAUAAUUUAUCUAAUUUAAAUAUAUUAUUUUUUAAUGAUACAAUUGUAGGAAAAGGUGUUCGAAAUACUAUUUACAAGGUGAGCGAAAGGGAUCUAUGGACAAAUUCAUUGAUAAUUUGCCUGGUAUGCCCGACAACAUCUUAUAUGAUGGGGAAGGCCAUUAUUGGAUUGGAUUAGCCACGGUAACUCAAUUUUCCUUUUUCUUUGAGCAAUGAUCCUAUUCAUCCACAUUAAUUAUUAGAUCGUUCCUAUUAUAUGAUGCUAUUAAUAGUAAUGCUUCAUAAUGAUACCUUCAAAAUGUUUGAGUGAUGCACAGGGAUACAAUGAUCUUUGGGACUUGGCAUUCAAAUAUCCUUCAAUUCGAAAGGUUAUGGCAAUCAUGGAGAAGUUCAUCGGGAUGCCAGAAAUCGAGAAAAAUGGUGGGGUUUUGGCAAUUGAUUUGGAAGGAAAACCGAUUGCUCACUAUUAUGAUCCUAAAUUGUCAUUAGUGUCAAGUGGGAUCAAGAUUGACAAGUAUUUAUAUUGUGGUUUUAUUGUUAAACCCUACAUGAUUCGCCUUGAUCUUGAUCAACAUGCUGCUCGCACCACCUUGUAAACUUGUGGGAUGUAUUAGUUUUUGGAACAGUGUAGAAUGGAUCUUCAAUGCAUAUAUGUGCCUAAAAACUCCAAAUUACAUGAAGGUGAGAUGUAGUUCAUAGAAGAUACCGUCUUAUGUGUUGGUCAUAAUGGGGAAAGAUCGUGGAAUGACCCUACUUUGCCCUCAUAAUCUUGAAGAUAAAUAUGUUGUUGAAUAGAAUCGACUGUACGUGAUUAAUGUCAUGAGCUUGAUCGAAGUAAUAUUUGUUCUAUAAGUUUAAGCAAUGGCAUAGUGUCAAAGGAAUUCAAUCAAAACUUAACUCUUAUAAUAGAUGGUGUAGUCAAAUUGAUCUCUAAUCAUUUCUAAAAGAGAAGCACGUUUAUUUCCAAAACUUCACUGCUAUUUAAUAAUUACACAAUAUAUUUUUGCUACAACUUCAAUAAUGACAUUUAAAAGCAGCAGACUUCAGACUUAGACUUAGUUUGGGAACUGUUUUCAAGAACAAUUUUCUAUUUUAUAAAACAAAAAAAUUGGAAAACACGUUUGACAACCAAAAGUUAUUUUCUAUUUUUUGUUAUAAGUUUUUAUAGAAUAUUUUUUUAGUCGUUUUCACUUAUUUUUUGAAAACUAUUUUAAAAAAUAAUUAUACAAAUAUAUUUAAUGAUUAAAAAUAAAGUUGUAAACAUAAAAAUUAUUUUUAAAAUAUCUUUAAAAAUAUUAAAAACAAUAUAUUUCUACUACAACUUCAAUAGUGACAUUUAAAUGCAACAGGCUUGAGACUUAGGUCUUGUUUGGAAACUAUUUUUAAAAACAAUUUUUUGUUUUUCAGAACAAAAAAAUUAGAAAAUAUGUUUGGUAACUAGAAACUGUUUUCUAUUUUCUGUUUUUAGAAAAUAGAAACAUGGUGUUUUCAGAUAACAUCUUUUAGUUGUUUUCAAUUGUUUUUUUUAGAGUUAUUUUAAAAAAUAAUUAUAAAAACAUAUAUAAUGAUUAAAAAUAAAGUUAUAGACAUAAAAAUUAUUUUUAAAAUAUAUUUAAAAAUAUUAAAAACAGAUUAAAAUUAUUUUAGGUUCUUAAAUAGAUAUUUAUUCUACAAAACAUCAUAGGAAAGUUUUUAAAAACCAUUCUUAAAAACUAUUUUUCAUAACUGUUUUUAAAAAUAGUUAUCAAACAAGCUCUUAACUUUUUUGUUUUUCUAAAAAGGGUUCAUGACCAACAAGAAAAGGCAAAGAUGUCAAACACCACUCCACCCUCUCAAAAUAUGUUCCUUUCGUUUUUUCUUUUGCCUUUUUUGUCUCCCUCUUCGUGAUUAAAUUUCUAACGUAUUUAAAUGAGAAUCUUAUAUGAUACCCAAGACCUUUGGCAUAUUGUUGGAUACAGUAGAGAAUGGUCAUUAAGAACUAGAGAAUGAGGAAAACUCUCUUGCGAACAAAGUUACUACACCAAAAGAAAAUCCAAAUAGAAAUUAAGGUUACCUUCUGUUUCCAAAAAGUAUUAAGGGAAGAAAAAAAAAAUUAUUAAAACUAUAUUUAGUUCUCAAAAAAUUUGAAAGAAAAUAUAAGGAAAAGAAAAUAAAAAGAAAAAGUGGAAGGAAAUAAAAAGUAGAUUUAAAGUCAAUAAAUUAUUUUUAUAUGCUUCUUCAAUCUUAUAUUACUUAUUUUCCAACAUUAUAUAAAGAAUAAAUAAUUUUAAAAUAUAUCAAUUCCUAAUUAAUUUUAAUUAUAUUUAUUUUUCUUCCAUAUUUUCUAUGGUGAAACCAAAUGUGAGAAAACCAUUUUUUAAAAUACUUUCCAAAAACCAAACAUAACUUAAAGAAAAUGGUUUUUUCAUGUUUGAUUUCAUCCUAAAAAUAUAAAAGAAAAUCAAAUACCAGUAAAUUCGUCAAAAUUUUAUGUAGUUUUAAAUUAUUUAAUCUUUAUGCUAAUAAAAUGAAAUAAGUGAAAUAAGUUUGAAGAAGCAUAUAAAAAUAAUUUAUUAAAUUUAAAUUUAAAUUUUAUUUUCUUCAUUUUUUGUUUCUUUAUAAUUUUUAUUUCUAUUUUCUUUUCCUCACAUUUUCUCUCAAAUUUUAUAGGAACCCAACAUAGCCUAAGGUAUUGUUUAAUUUCAAUGCCUUGAGAGAACUUCUUGAAGAGUUUCCUUAUUUGUGUUGUUGCCACCAAUAUUUUAAAAAUCAACCUGAUCAUUAAACCAAAAAAGUCAUCAGUUUACGAUUCAAUGGUUAAACCAAUAGUUGAACUGCGGUCAAACUAGUGAUAUUAUAAAUAUAUAAUUUACAUAUUAUUAAAAUUAAAAAUAAUUAUAAAAUUAAAAAUAUAUAAAUAAAUUAAAAAUCAAUAAUAUUUAUUUUUUUAUCUCUAGUAUUAUCAAAUUAAAUCUUGCAUAAUAUGACUGUACUAAUACUUUUUAAAUUUUAUUAAAUGAAAUAUAUAAAAUAUUUAAAUAUGAAUAUAUUGAAAAUGAAAGAAAAUCCAAUUAUUUAAUUUUAACUAUUUUUAUAAUUUAAAAAAAAUAUUAUAUUAUAUUUAUUUAAUAUUAUAAUUUUUUUUUAAAUAAUUUUUUUUUUUUUUGCAUUUGCCAUACUAAGUAUGAAAAAAAUGUGUAGCGGGGUGGUACCCAUGCCACUGAGUGCCAAUAUGGGUUAAGAUUUUGAAUUGGGCCUCAGUAUGAGGUAGGCUUUGGAAUUGGGCCUUGCUUUGAAUGAAAAAAAAUAAAGGAGCAUUAGACUGUGUUCGGUUCUUGAAGAACUUCCUGGUCACUUGGUUUACCGGUUGGACGAACCCGGUUGGUUCGACUUUGAAAACAGUGGUUACCGCGAAAGAGAUGAUGAAGCAAGUCAGAGAAAUCAAUUUGGAUUUUAGAGGCAUAGAUCAUGUGGGUAGCAAACGAAUUUUUUAGAAAUAGUAGUUGAUCAGCUGCCAUAUAUAGGCAUAAGGGAUCCGUGCACAAUUUUAUCAAUAAUUUGCCCGACAUGCCCGACAACAUCUUAUAUAUAUAUAUAUAUAUAUGAUGGAGAAAGACAUUAUUGGAUUGAAUUGUCCAGGGCAAUUCAAUUCUCUCGUUUUUCUUUGAGCAAUAAUUUUAUAUUCUUUGUUGAAUCUAAUAUACAAUAAUUAAAUACUUCAUCUACAUCAAUCAUUAAGUUGUUCUUACUAUAUAAUGUUGUUAAUACUAAUGCUUAAGUAUAAUACUUUCAAAAUGAUUGGUUGACUUGGCAGGAAACCAAUGGUUUUGGGAAUUGGCACUCGAAUAUCCUUCAAUUCAAAAGGUUAUAGCAAUCUUGGAGAGACACAUUGGGAGGCCACAAAUCGAGAAAAAUGGUGGGGUUUUGAUUGUUAAUUUGGAAGGAAAACCAAUUGCCCACUAUUAUGAUCCUAAAUUUUCAUGAUAUCAAGUGGGAUUAAGAUUGGAAAGUAUUUAUAUUAUGGUUUUGUUAUCAUACUCUAUAUUACCCGUCUUGAUCUUGAUUAACAUUUAUAGAUCUCCCAUCUUAUCCCAUAACAUAUAUUUUCUCAUUUUUAUUUUUCUUCUCAUCCUAUUCUCACUUUUAGUGCCUGUUUAGGAUCAUUUUUUUUUUGUUGUUCAUUUUCUCUCUUAUUGGUCUACCUUUGCUCGACUCUAUUGAUUUUUGAGCCACANNNNNNNNNNNNNNNNNNNNNNNNNNNNNNNNNNNNNNNNNNNNNNNNNNNNNNNNNNNNNNNNNNNNNNNNNNNNNNNNNNNNNNNNNNNNNNNNNNNNUCUUUUCUUUAGGUCAGCUAUUAAGAGAGAAUAGGUAAGGGUGAGCUGCAAGGUUAGGUUUUUUUUUAAAGAAAUGAUAUUCUUUGCAAGGGUAGUUAGGAGAGAGAGAUGAUGAACACAUUUUAGAAUCUGUAGGAGACGCGUUUCAGACGGGGGAGACUCUUUCUAUUGCUUUGUGGUUGUUAGAGAGAAAAGAAAAAAUAAAAGUCUUAUAGAGGAAGAAAAAAGGAACAAGGGGAAAGAAAGAAACAGAGGAGAACUAGCUGGUUCUCUAGGUUUGUGAAGAAAGCAAGGAAGACUAGAGGUCCAACAAAUCUUGUUGGAGGGGAACACUUUUAGCUAGAUGCUAAGGUACACUCCUAUCUCUAUCUUGUUUAUUUAUUUAUUCUUUAUUAUCUGUAAACCCUCAAUUUUGUCCCUUUAAGUUCAUUUUCAGUGCUUCAUAGUACUUCCUUGGUGGUCCAUAACUACUCAUACAACUUACCUUUUUUAAGCCACCUCAAAGAUUUUGGUUGAGGGAUUUUCUGAACCCUUUUUUGUGACCCUUGACAACCCUAUUUUAGAUUAGGCUUUUCCUUCUUUUUUUAGAAGAGCACACUUAGACAUGUUUAGGUCACCUACACGAUAUCCUGAUCACUUUAGGUUACGUAGGCACCACCCUAGCCCUCUUAGACACACUUGGCCUAUUAAACGUUUUUUACAUGACUCACAUAGUCGCAUGACUUGCAUGGUCCGCAUAGGAUUAACUAUUUUAUUUCAUUUUAUUUAAUUAUUUUGUUUUACUUUAUUCAUUCAUUUUAUUUUACUUUAUUCUUUUAUAUAUUGCAACAUUGCUAACUCUUUUUCGGUUUUAUUCUUUUUAUUUUCGUUUUUUUAUUGUUUGACAAGAGAAUGAGAGUUGUUGUUCAACUCUCACAAAGGCAUGUACAUUCAAAGAAGGUAAGAAAAAUAUUUUUGGAGGAAAACGAGGAUUAACAUGGCUGCAUACAUAUGGAAAGAGAAUAUCCUACAUAGAAAGAGAGAAACAUUCUGAUUUUCGGAAAGGAAGGGAAAUAAAAGAAAGGAAAGUAGAUUUAAAAAGGAAGAAAAGAACAAAAACGAAAGGGGGAUUUUCCUUUUUGUUUUGGAACAGAUUUGUUGAAAAAAAUAGGCUUUCCCACAAGUGUAAAUCAAUGGAAGCAAUAUAAAUAGAAUAACAGAAAAUAAAUGAGCACACAAGAUUUACGUGGUUCCCUCAAAUAACUUGAGGUACGUCCACGACGACCGGUAGGUCAGUUUCUUCCACUAUCACCAAAAGAGUUUACAAAGUGGCCAAAAGGCAUAAGCCUUACAAACAUACCAAGGUGUAAAUCACAAGAGGAAAAUACCUCACAAAAGUAAACCAAAUCUCCAAGAACAAACCGCAAGAAACCCCAAAUAUCAAGUGAAGAAACGUUACCCACUUGAAGUACAAACUUGCCGAUUGUGUAGCACCAAAAAUGGAGAAGAAGAAGGCUGAUUUUUGUUUUGAACCAAAAAGGUAUCCCAAGAGUCUUCUUGCCGACCAAGAUGAUGAACCAAAGGAAAAGACAAAAGACUUGUAGUUUUUUUCUUUCCUUGAAGACUUCAAACCAAUCUUGAAUAUGCCAAGAGUCAUGUGCCAACCAAGGUGUUGGCCAAAAUAGCAAAACCAUAUUUAGUAAAUUUAAGAGUCCCACAAAGGAGGGAAACCCAACAAGAUUUGGGUCUUUGGGGGCUGAUAUACAUAUGUGCAAAAGGAUGUUGAAGUGAAUUUUUUUUUUUUCGGGAGAUAGUCUUGAGGAAAAGCACAGAGAAGCGGGAAAUGAGCAAGAGUAGCCAAGUUCAUCCAGGUAUGUUUCUUGUUACUCUUGAAAUUCUUACCCAUAUUCGAUUUCUCCGUAUAUUUGUUUUUAGAAUAUUUAAUAUAUUGUUCGUUGGUGUGGACGUUAAGGGCCACAAGUUGUUCUGCUGAGCUUGGUUGUUUACUUCUUUAUUCAAUUUUUAUUUUGAUUAUUUUACGUGUCAUGAAUGUCUUCGGAAAUAUACAACUCCAUGCUUGAAUGUGAUCCUGCUCUUUUUUUUGUUUGAAUCUUAUCUUGUAUUGUUCCCUCUGUUAUGUUCUUAGCCCAUGGAUUAAUACUUGAAGUGGAGACUAUUUUUGUUUACUUAUCAACAUCUUCUGUUCUUUCCUCCUCUGAGUUUUACUUCGUUUUUAUUUCAUUUUAUUUCUCUUCCAUCCAUUUUCCUGUAUGCUGCCCAAAUCCUUCUCAUUACCUUUGGGUGUACAUUGAGGAAUGACGGAAGUGUUAAUACGAGAUGGAGUAUGCAACAAUCUCACUCAAAUAUUGGAUAGUUGAUUCCGAGGUUCUUCUAGUGAACUACAGAAAUCUGGAAUACGCAUCAUUGAAAUUCGGAUCUAUCCCACACUACCAACCUCGGGAAACAGGGGAGAAAUUCUGGGAGUUUGAUUUUCGAUUCUGUUAGAAAAAUGGAGUUCACGCUACAACUGAUGAUUCCCAUGGAAACAACCUUGUUGCCAUUCUCUGUUGAUCUUAUCAUCAUAUGGAGAGGGAUCACCGACCUUGAGGAGAGAUUUGGGUUUCUCUGGAAUUGGAAAACUGAAGAAGUUCUGGAUUCAUCUUAUUAGAAGAUUAUUACCACGCGCGGUUCCUGGAGGGGUGAUCCAAAGAGAGGAUUGGUUAGAGGGAACUGUGGAUAACCGGAAAGUAGAAGAAACUGAAGGGAUCAUAGCUGAAUGGAGGAUGGAAACUCGCACUUUCCCUUUGAAGCCAUUGAAGGCGAGGGAAAAGCCUUUGAAUAUUCACAUCUCUGUCAUCUGAUCAAUGAUUCUCUUCCUCUUUACAUCGAAUCAGAGCUAAUUUCAGUGACCAAACAAAAAAUCUUUUGGUUGCUCUUUCCCAGGAUUCAAGAAAAAUUCAAUUCUGGAUAUAUGAGCUUGAUUCCGAUUCCCGUGACGACAUAGCGGCCUAACCUACUUAUAUUGAGAAAUCAGAAAAUUAUGAAGAGCAUUGUUGUUUGACUAGAAUCAUAGCCAACUUGCUGAAAGUCAAUAUGUUCAAUAUUUGGCGAGCAAGGUUCUUGUGGUCAUUUAUGAGUUUGUGGUGGUUUCUGGAAGUAAUUGGGAGGGAUUUGUGCAUUUUUUGCGUGUUUGCUUUGAUGUAGCAAUUGGAAACUUUCUUUCAUCGUCUUUAACACUCCAAACUGAUGGGGACGAAAUUUUUACUGAGAAGUCAAGUUUUGUUGUUUUUUGUAAAAUCCAGACUGAAAAAUGCAAAUUGGUUUGCAGUGGCUGGUAUUAUUCGAGUUUUGAGUAAUAUAUUGAAAUACUUGAAGCAAGAAUAUGAUGAUCAACUUGGGAAAAUACUUGGAUUCUAUCAAUUCUUGUUUGUCAAAUGUGCCUUGGGAUUCAUUGAAUGAUGUUUGUGUUGGUCAGAAUGGUGACACUUAGAGACGCUCAAACACUUUUAGUCUGAGGAAUGUUCAGCUACUAGAGUCAAAGGUUGUAUUUCUAAGAAAUCUUGUUCAGUUCUUCUGUUUAUUGGUUGAGCAAAAUGGUUCUUUGGGAAUCCCAAGUGUUUCUCUAGGUAAGUAUCCUGUUCUUUAUAACAUCAGCAACCUUGUUCCUAAGUUUCUAUAUUGGUGCCUUGGCAAGCAAUGGAAUUGUAACAGCUUGUGCAUCUCUGUACUUUAAACACAAGUUGUUGAUGCUAAUGUUUAGGCUCAGUUUCUAUAUCCGUCUACAAUAUUCAAUUCUUGCUUCUUUGCUGCAAGUUCUCCAUGAACACUUUCAAGAUCUUUUGCUCCAACCAAUACGUCAAGUCAAGCCUGAUGAGAGUGGUUGUCUUGAAGGCUCUCCAUUUUUUAUUCAGUAUUCUUGAUGGAAAAGUAUAUAACAUGUCUUUAUACCAUUUACAGAGACAGACUGUUUUCCUUUUCCUAAGGUGUUCCUUCAGUUUGAUCAGUCUGAGGGAAGAAAUAAGAGAGCAAUGUGCAUAUGCAGCUACCAAUUCAUGCGUGACAUUUGACCUAAAUUCAAAUUUGGAAUGUUGUAGUCAAAAGAAAGGUCUAUCAGAGCUUUAUGAGCGGCUUCAAGGACAUAUUCCUAAGUGUUUAGUUGUGAACCUUAAAAUGUAUUAGACAGUUAUUUCUUAGAUAUGCUGAAGCUCUGUUUUCUUUGCUCCAACUUCUUUGUCAGUAUCAUGUGACACGCUUGGUUCAGGGUUUUGAUGUUAAUCUACGACAAUAAUUAGUUCAAUUAACACUCCACCAAUCUGUUUGUUCCGAGGAAGGUGAUCGGCUUGCUACUAGGUUAAUAUCUUCCCUAAUGGAGUAUUACACUGGUCCUAAUGAUAAGGUAACAGUUGAUGAUAUUAGCGCACGAUUGCGAGAAGGUCGGCUAGGCUAUUACAAGGGGACUGAUCACAAACUUUACUUAGCUGUGGAGUUUCUUGAGAGAGCUACUGUAACUUCUGACACCGAAGAGAAGGAAAACCUUGCUAGAGAGGCCUUCAAUCUCUUGAAUAAAGUUCCAGAACCUGCAGAUUUGUGAGCAGUUUGCAAAAGGUUUGAAGACUGGAGAUUUCAUGAAGUUGUGGUUCGUUUACCACUACAAAAAGGCACAAGCCCCUUGUCCCUGAAGGUGAUGCUUCCAAUGAGCGACUUGAUGCAGAAAUUUGAGAACAUGCACUUGCUUAGCUUGAACAAUGUUAUGAGAUUAUCACCAAUGUUUUGUGUUCUCUAAAAAAGGCGAGGCUUUUCUAGAAGGAACUCGGAUCUCCCGUGAGUCCCGCUGCCUGAUCCACCCUUGAUUAGGCUUCUCGAGACAUAUACAUACGCCAAACUGUCCAACUUAGUGUUAAAUCAUCUGACACAGUCUUUCAGAUACUGUUUCAGUACAGAUCCAAAAUAUGUUAGGCCCCUUGCAAUUCUUGCCCUUGAUGAUCUCUUCCAGCAUGAAGGACUUGCUAGACCUAGUGAUUCUGUAUCAGCAUAUCACGACAGCAAACACUUGGCAUCUGAUGUUCUGCUUCUUCUCUUAUCAAGGUUGCCUGCAUCUUUCGUCCCAAUGGUUCUCUCUUAUGAACUUGUCCAGUGUUUAACGGACAUGCUUCCUACCAAAGACAUUUGGCUGCAUAAAGUUGCACAAUAUUUUCUUAAAGACCUAUCAGAUUGGGUCAGAUAUGAUGAUGUUAGAAAAGUAUAUGUCAUCAUGGCUCUACAGAAGCAUAACAGUGGGCGAUUUGAUUGCAUUACAUGGAUAAAAACUGUUAAAGAUUUGAUGGCAGAGUUCAAAACAGAAUCUGGAUGCAUGCCAUUUAAUCAGAACUUAAUUAGCAUGUUUGUGGAUGAGGCUCAUGCUUCGGAGAAACCUUCUGAUCAGAGUUAGACCAUAAAUGACAAUCCUUUAACAACAUUUUCCAUAUUUUGAGAAGAUGUUUCCAUUGUAAUCAGAUUGGUGGGGGAUCUUAAAAGAUUAGAUGAAUUCCCAGGAGUGAAGGACACCAAAUUUGGAAUCCGAAUGCUAAAGUUAUCAUGCUUUGUAAACAGUUACAGAUUGUUCAUCAUGUAAUAAUGACUGGUGCGCCAAUUCAGAACAAGCUGGCUGAGCUGUGGUCUUUGUUCGAUUUUGUCUUCCUUGGGAAGUUGGGAGUGUUGCCUGUGUUUGAAGCAGAAGUUGCAGUUCCCAUAUCUGUUGCUGGCUAUGCCAAUGCCUCUCCAUUACAAGUAUCCACUGCUUAUAGGUGUGCAGUAGUCCUACGUGACUUGAUUAUGUCAUAUCUCCUUCGAUGUACGACAGUUGAUGUGAAUGCUCAGCUUCCAAACAAUACUGAACAUGUCCUCUUUUGCAGCCUUACCGCAGAGCAGUAUUCUAUAUAUCGAGCACUUCUCUCGAGUCUGGAGGUGGAAUAGAUCUUUGAUGGUAGUAGAAGUUCUCUUUAUGACAUUAAUGUGAUAUAUAAAAUAUGCAAUCACUUUGAUCUACUUGAGCAAGAGUGCAUGCUUACCAGAAUCCAGAUUAUGGGAAUCCUGAACACAGUAGAAAAAAAAAAACGAAAAUUGUCGCUCAUGUGCUUAAGGGGUGGAAAGAACAGGGUCACCGCGUUGUUCGUUUUACACAAACUCAACAAAUACUUGAUAUUCUUGAGAAUUGCCUGAUCGCUAGCUGCUGAUCGUCUAAGAAGCCUUAAGAAAACAAAAGCUCAACUUGAAAUAGAGCUUUCAAAUUUGCAAAAAGAAAAGCCUUCCAAGAUUGUUGAGCAUGACUAGGUGAUACCAAAUUUGGUUAAGGAGGAGGCAAGACCUAAGAAAAUGUUAAAUGAAAUUCUGAAAUUGGGCAAAGAAUUAAAGAAGCGAAAGAAAACAAUUCCAUUUGAUGAUGAUGUUGAUUUUGAUACAGUCCUGGAUACAACUUCUGCAGGAUUUGUCAAAACAAAAAGAGACAAGUUGGUUAGAAAUGGGAUUUUAACUCAUUUCCAUAAGCUCAAAGGCUUUGAACGUCAUCUUCAACAACCAGGUCCAUCAAGUAGAGACAAUUUACCUGAGGAUAAAGAGAGUAGCAUUCGCAUCAGAACUGAACCUAUUGUGAGGCAGAUCUUAGGAUUCUCUUGGCCAUCAGCUGAUGAACUUUCUAAUUGAUACAAGUGCUGAAGUUUCUAUUGGUCAGAUCAUUGACCUCAAAAGAACAGCAAAAAUGCUCUUGAAUUCAGUCAAAAACAUAUUGAAAUCGUUGUAUCGCUGGAGGAUUAUGCUGCCAUGAAUCCAACCAAGCGUUUCACCUUUGUCUCCCAUAGUGCUAGAAGGUACUCUGCCAAAAAGGUUCUGGAACCCUCAAAUAUUUAAAUUGGAGGAUUCUAAUGCUUUACUAGCACUCACCCUAUGACGAAUACUCAGUUUAUGAUGAAAAAGUGGAGUUUCUGGCAUCCACCUAUGCACCGAAUGCAGAAUCAAUAUUUGCUCCUCUCAUAGGAACAAACAAUUUUCACAACAAACCAAGUGUUCAAGAUGAUGCAGGCUGCAAGAAUUUCUCGAAAGAAUUGCAAAUGGCCAGACUAGAUGAUGAAGCCGUUCUCCAAAAACUGAGGCAAAUGCCAUUGGAAGUGGGAAAAUUGAAACAGAAUUUAUAAUGCUCUUCUUCCCUCAUGUUCAAAGGCUGGUCUGAACAAUACUGGAGUCGCCUACGCAGCCAUGCUAGACACUAGAAGCUUUAUGCUUGCAGACCGCAAUUCCACCACAUUCUUCACAGGUUUCAUCCAUAUUCCAGAAAUUCCAAAAAGGAAAAGAAAAAUCGAUGGUGAUUGGAUGCAUAAAUUAGCAAUCCGGGCUAACCAAUUUUAGUGGCAGCUUGUGUUCGCUCUACAGAAGCAAGGAGAAGGGUUUUCAUGGAGAUCAGUAAUAUACUUAACGACUUUAAUGAUUUAUCUAAUGAUUUUAGGCCACUCGACAAUGAUAUCCAAGCUUUUAUUGAUUUGCUCAAUGAUGAAUUGGCUGCUCGAUCACCUACAGCCGAUCAUGUUGAGUCUUUUAAUACCACUCAAACCUUUGGCGGGUUUGAGGCUGCUACUGAUGAUAUGGAACAAGACCUGCAGUCACCGAAUCUCUGCAAAGAACAGAUGUAUCAUGUACGCAUUCUCAAUUUUUUGAAAUGCAGAUUGAACGCAAAUGGCAGCCUGUCAAACUGUCCUAGAAGUGUGUCGAUGGAUUUGGGUGGGAGAUGGAUUCGCAACUGCUGAUGAGGUUGUCCUUGAUGAUCCCCACCAUUUAGCUCCUAUAUACGUGUCAUACCAGUUGAUUUAGCAGUUUUCAAGGAAUUAUUUUUUGAAACUCGGAAUUCAGGAGCUCUUGAAACCUGAUGACAUGUUAGCAUUUUAGGUGCAACAUCUGGCUGAAGUUCAGUUUCAUGAACAUAAAUCUAAGAUCUACUUACCUGAUGUGUCAGGAAGACCACUUCUUGUCAAUAAGUUAGUUUAUGAUGAUGCUCCCUAGCUGUUUGGUUCCUAAAGGUGAAUAUCUGCCUGCAAAAGAGGUGAAGCAGCCCCUAAUGCUGCUGAUUCUGAUACAGCAAGAAACUUCUCAUGAAGUCACUCUUAUGACACUACUGAUGAGGAACUCACGUCAAUUGUAAUGGAAAACUAUCAACAUUCAGAGCCUCAACACGGUCUUGAAAGCUUUUCUACCAGAGAAACAAUUUCUCUUAACUUCUUAGAAAAGGCUACGUCAGGCUAUGAAUUCCAUCGACCAGAGAGAUAACCUGGGACCUUACAAAUGUCAAAUUAAGUUACGCUUUGCAAAACGGACUAAGGGUAGAACUUCAUCAGCAUAACCAGAUUUCGUGAGAGAUGAAGUAGAUAUUGGUCCGAGAGGGUAUGAACAAAGCAGUAGAAAUGAAGUCACUAUUAUUUCCAGGCAGAGCAUCAGGAGAGGAAAGAAUAAUAUGAAAGGUUCCUAUCCAACGGGCAUUCUCAAGGUUCCCAGCUUUCUCAUGGGCUAUCACAUCUUAACAAUACGUGUACUUCCAGCCAAAAUUAUUCAGAGUGUUACUACAUUUUCACAGAGACAGAUGCAUGACGUGGAAUGUCUCGCAACAAAGCUCACGAGAGGGUUGAAAUCCACGCACAGGACACAAAAUCAAAACAACAACUCCAUAGCUGCUUGGGCAGCAAACAGAACAAAACGCGAGUCACCUUCGAGCUAUAUAUCCAUGACACAAUUACCCUGCCCAAAUAAUGCAAAGAUAGCUAUCGAAAUUGUGAAUCUCCCUAUCUAUCCAGUCUUUGAUGUGAUGCAGGCAAUGGGGUCCAUUAAGAGUCAAUUUGCGUUGAUGAUUAUGAGAAAGAAGCUUUCCUUUGUGACAUGCCAUGGACAUUAUUAGCGAACGCUGCACUUGUGUCUACAUUCUGGAGGAUUUUUAGAAGCACUCUUAUCCAAGGUGAUUCAAUUGUGUCGACUCUCAGUCAGGCUCAAGAAGUUGUGAAUUAAAAAGUUUAGGAUUCGGUCCAGAUUUCUUUUUUGAAGGGUAGUUUGUCGUUGUAGUUGAAAUGAAAAACAUCAAGAGCGCAAAAAGAGAGUUCAAAAUUGUUCAAAUCAGGGUUUAAGCGGACUGAAUUGACAUUUGGCUUGAAUAUUAAAGAAAGAUAAAUGAAUCUCCAGAUUUGUGGCUGAGAUGGCUAAAAGACUUGAAGCAAUGGAAGGCAAAGUAACAGAGUUUCGAAUUAACGCAUGCCUCAGGUUCCAUGAAAAGGGGUGUAGGUUCCCUCAGCUAGACCUAGAAGCAUUAUUCCAGGUUCGGCAGAGUCUCAAACAAGGAACUAGACGGGCAACUUAUAUGAUCAGAAAGCAUAGACAUAAAAGGAAAAUUCAGAGAAAAUGAGUUAUAGAACAGGAAACUUAAUCUGAAAUUGAGCAUUACGUCUUCACCAGAAGCUUCUGUUGAUAAUUCAGGUUGUGAUCCUGAGAAACUAGAGUUGUAUUGAAGCCCUUUUUUUAGAUGAGGUGGCACCCUAAAAUCCAGUAAACAUGGGCUCUGAAGCGAAUACAUUCAGUUUCUUUCCAGACAACCAGUGGUCUACAGAAUCCUCCUUAUGCAAUCUGUUUCAACCAUUUAGUCUCAAGUGCACCUCCAGACCUCACUCAUAUAGUGGUCACCUUGCCACACAUCAUACUCCUAAUGUUUCUUCUUAUUCUUUUUUGUUAUCUUACACAUUUUAAAUCUGGAUUUCAAAAUCUUUUUCCGUAAAAAAUAACUCUAGUUUUAUUUAAAAUUCCCGAGAAGUUUCUGGGCAUAAAAUCCAAAUUUUAACAUACUAUUUGCUGCCAUUUUCCUUUCCAGCAUGCAUUUUCGUCAUCUUCAACUAUUUUCAUGAUUUUCUCGAUUUUCGACAAGCAUGAACAAACUUCAUGAUUCCAAACAAUGGAAUUCAUAGAAUCAACUCAUGCAAAAUCAAUCAGGACCUUGGUGGGUGGUCCGACAUUCUUGAUAUCUUCUCUGAUAUUGAUUCAAAUGAGGGGAUUGUUCGAUACUUGGCUGAUUUCAAUUGUUCCCUAUGAUAUAUAUGAAAAUUGUUUAUACUUGUUAUUAAGCUAACCUUGUUUUCCAUAGACGCAUUUAGCUUGCUACCCAGGUACGCUCUCUCUCUCUCACACACACACUCAUUUUCUCAAAUUCUAUGAACAUACAUGCUAUUGAAGAUCACUUCCAUGUUUGAUGUAAUCCUUGGGUGUUUAGGUGUAUACUUGAUUUGCUUGGAUAAAGCACAUGUUGUGUGAUAUAUUUCUAUACUAACCUUUGAUGUUUUGUGAUAGCGCUUAAGAAGUGGUUCAGGUACGUACCCUAACUCUCCUUUAUUGUGAUUGAUCUCCUUAUUUAGCAUGCUAUUUUCUGAAAUCACCUAGCUUACUUAGGUAUCUAUAAUUAACCAACUAAUUGUCACACUUCCCUUAACUUAGUUAGUAGAGACCUUUAUAGGACUUAGAAGGGUGUUACCUUUCAAAGGUACCUUCCCAAUAGGUAACUUGAUCCUUGGACUUAGACUCGGGUUUUUUUUAAAGACAUGCUUUUUCCAAAACUAUGGAGUCAUUUUUUUUAGGGUUUUAUUUCUUGUUUUAUUUUCCCUUUAAAAUAAAAAUAAAAUAAUUGGUGACUCCGACUUUUUCAAAAAUUAAUUUUUCAUAAAUAAAAAACGAGUCUCGCUGAUCGAGUGAGAGCGCACGUGAAAAAUGCGGGUCCACAAAUUGGCGACUCCACUGGGGAUCUUGAGGAUCAAGCUUAAACACUAUUUGAGGAAAAUGUGGCGUUUAAUUGGUCGAUUAGAGGGUACCUCAUCAUUUUUAGGCAAGGCGAUUUGGUUAUCUUACUUGAUUGCUUUGCUAUCUUAACAUGUUGGCAUUGAUCCCUCUAUAGUUCAACACCACUUACCUAUCCUACCACAUGCCAGACCGGUUAAGCAGAAAUUAAGACGGUUACAUCCACGUUGGAGUCUGCAGGUGAAAGAGGAGAUUCAGAAACAACUCUGUGUUGGAUUCAUAUCAGUGGUUGAGUAUCCAAAGUGGUUGGCUAAUGUCGUCCCAGUUCCCAAAAAGGAUGGCAAAGUUAGAGUUUGUGUAGACUUUAGAGAUCUUAAUAAAGCUAGCCCUAAAGAUGACUUCCCUUUCCCACAUAUCGAUUUGUUAGUUGAUGGCACUAUAGGCCAUUCGAUGUUGUCUUUCAUGGAUGGGUUUUCAGGGUAUAAUCAGAUUUUGAUGGCUCCAGAGGAUAUGGAGAAGACAACCUUUAUUACUGAGUGGGGUACCUACUGUUACAAGGUUAUGCCAUUUGGGUUGAAGAACGCAGGAGCCACUUAUCAGAGGGCCGCUACUACUUUGUUUCAUGACAUGAUGCAUAGGGACGUUGAAGUUUAUGUGGAUGAUAUGAUUAUGAAAUCCCAAGGCAGAGCAGAUCACCUAGAGGCUCUAGAGAGAUUCUUUGAGAGGAUCCGAAAGUUUAGAUUGAGGCUGAAUCCCAAGAAGUGCACCUUUGGAGUGACUUCUGGGAAGUUAUUGGGACAUAUGGUCAGUAAGCGAGGCAUAGAGGUCGACCCAGAUAAAAUCAAAGUCAUACUUGACAUGCCUGCGUCGAGGACUAAGAAAGAGAUUAGAGGUUUUCUGGGUAGAUUACAGUACAUCAGUCGUUUCAUAGCCAGAUUGACAGACAUAUGUGAGCCCAUAUUUCAUCUUUUAAGGAAGAAUUAACCAACAGUUUGGAAUGAUGAUUGUCAGCUUGCAUUUGAGAAGAUCAAGGGGUACUUGCUUUUUCCUCCUGUUUUAGUGCCUCCUACGCCAAGACGCCCACUUCUUUUAUAUUUGUCAGUUUCAGACAUGGUCUUGGGAUGUAUGUUAGCUCAGAUUGACAACUCAAGGGAAGGAGCAGGCUAUUUACUAUCUGAGUAAAAGGAUGCUGGAGUAUGAAGUGAAAUAUGUUAUGAUCAAGGAGGAAAAUGUCGCAAUAUUUCGGCGAUAUAUCGCCGAAAUAUCGUGUAUCGGACCAUCUCGACACGAUAUAUGUUAGAGAUAUAUCGGUUCCACGAUAUUUUAUCAAUUUAUCGUGAUUUUCACUUAUUUCUCGUGAUUUAUUGGCAUUUUAUCAUUUUAUCUUCAAUAUAUCGCGAUAUUUUGGACGGUCAAAUGAGGAUCAAUGCGGUCAAACUUUUAAAAAUGCCUCAGGACCGUCGCGGGGGCUCGAACCCCAGCCAAAAGGUUUGGUUGGCAGCAAGCCAACUGCUGGGGCAAGUUUGCCCCUUGAUAUAUAAUGUGCACCAAAUAUAUAUAAAGUCAAAUUCAUCAUAUAAACAUAAUUUUAAAAAAAUGUUUUAAAGAACAAAUUAAUUAUAAUUAUUUUAUAAUUAAAUAAAUUUUUUUCAUCUAUUUGAAUACCAAAAAUAUAAAAAUUAUUGUGAUAAUUUUCUUCAUAAUGUUUUUAAUAUUAUUAAUAUAUUAAUUAAGUAUUAAAAAUUAUACACAUAUCAUCAUUUAUUUUAUAUCAUUUAAUACAAUUAAAUUAAAUGAAUUAUAAUUUAAAUAUUAAAUAUAUUUUAAAAUUAGACAUAUUAUAAUCAAAUAUCACAAAUAUUAUUAUGAAUAAUAUUUGAUAUAAUUUAAUAAUAAAUAUAUACUUAUGAAAUUUAUAGUUUUUUUUUAUUAACACAUAUACUAUUAUUGUCAAAUAUGAUAAAUCAUAUUAUACAUAUAUCAAAUUAUUUAAUAAAAUAAUUUAAAAAUAUCAUUAUACUUCUAAUUACAUUUUUAUGAAGUUUUUUUUAUAUUUUUAUAAAUUUUAAUCAAUUUUAUGUUUAUCGAUAUUUUUUUCCAAAAUAUCCGCCGAUAUAUCUCCGAUAUAUCCGUAAAAUCGAAGUACCGAUAUAUCCGUGAUUACCGAUAUUUUCAUUCUUGGUUAUAAUUGAGCGUCUAUGCUUAGCACUAGUUUGGGCUACCAGGAGAUUAAGACAUUACAUGACAGAGUACUCAGUGCAUUUGAUAUCCCGCCUAGAUCCAUUGAGAUACUUAUUUGAUAGACCUGCAUUGACUGGUAGACUAAUGAGAUGACUUGUACUUUUGACAGAGUUUGAUAUCCAGUAUGUUUCUCAGAAGUCUAUUAAGGGAAGUAUUGUCGCCGAUCACCUAGCCUCACUACCGACAUCUGAGAAUAGACCAGUUGAUGAUGAUUUUCCAUAUGAGGAGUUUGUUGCUAUGACCAGCUUAUCAGGAUGGUAUAUAUUAUUAGAGAAACACCCAAAUCAGCUCCAAAUAUAAUGAUAAAGCAACACGUGGAUUGGAAUUUUUCCAACCCCUUUCCAUUAACACGACUGAUAAAGUGACAAGAGGAUCCACAUAGUUUGAGCCUAUGCUUGGUUUCAGAAAGUACCAAAAUUUAAAUAAAUAAAUAAAUAUAUAUAUAUAUAUAUAUACUAAAAAUUAUCUUCUUAUCUAUUAUAUAAAAAAAAUUAAUACAAUUAAAAUUAUUUAAAAAUUAGUUUAUUUUUAAAUUAUUUAGUUUUUAUAUUAAAAAUUAAAAUAAAUUUAAAAUAACAUAUAAAAAUAAUUAUUAAUUUUAAAUUUAUUUUUAUUUUAUUCCUCUUUAUUUUUUAUUCGUGUUUUCUCUCAAAUUUUGAGGGCUCCAAACAUAACCUGAUAAAUAACAAAGAUAUUAUCUCGUGGCUAUUAAGACAAGCAAGUUGCCAACCCGCUUCUUUAAUUACCCAAAUUGGUGAGUGGCCCUGUUUUUGCCCCUUCGUCUGUGGAGACUCACCGAGUCACCGAUGGCAGAGUCAAACCUUCCGAUACUAGCACGACUAGGAGGAGCUCAUCAUGGUCCUUUGGUUUUCUCGUCUUGAUUCUUACUCCCGUUGCAGCGGCCAUCUUUCUCUACCAACUCGACUCCUUUGAUCCAGCUUCUCUGCCCACUCACGAGUUUUCACAGGAACCCAUGCCUGUGCCGAAGCUCAACCCUCGUAUGCUGCAAGGUUCUGAGAUGAUUGGGCAGGGGAAUCUGUUGGGCCCAGAGGACAUUGCCUAUGACGCCAACUCACACCUAAUCUACACAGGCUGUGCUGAUGGCUGGGUCAAGCGAGUCACCUUGAACGAGUCGGCUGCCAACUCGGUCGUCCAUAACUGGGCCUUCACCGGUGGAAGACCUCUCGGCGUCG